GCGUGCAACUGCUUGAGGGUCCUUUUCGUGUUUUGCUGAGGGUUUACGGCUUGUUUGUCUUGGGGUUCUGCUUGUGGGGGUAACAACGGUGUUACCUUGUGUUCUGUCUUUUAAACUCUCUACUGCUUAAUGAAAUACGCGCUUAAGCGUGCUCUCAAAAAAAAAUAAAUAAACUCAGCUAUUGUUUUAGAUGAUCUCCAUUGAGCACUGCAGAAGGGAAGCAAACCAGGUGGCAUAUGAGUUAUCUACAUGAGGCAUGCCAACAAAAUAUAAUUGUAUUUGAGACGAUGAACCUCCUAAUUUUAUUCUUAAAUAUAUGAUGAAUGAUGUAAUCUCUCUCAAUCAAUAAAAACUCGCCUAGUGCUUACUUCAAAUCCCGCUAACUCAGGGGAGGGAGGAUGUGAUAGCAUGGCACUAUAACAAAUCAGGUAUGUUCUCAGUACCUAUGGACAACUAAGCAUACAUGCCCCCC
RNAcentral lists this long non-coding RNA (472 nucleotides) under Sorghum bicolor (sorghum). Its description in RNAcentral is "long non-coding RNA (SBIC_LNC015028)". Lineage: Eukaryota; Viridiplantae; Streptophyta; Magnoliopsida; Poales; Poaceae. The record is from RNAcentral.